Molecule: long non-coding RNA, 3339 nt
Filed under: Canis lupus familiaris (dog)
Lineage: Eukaryota; Metazoa; Chordata; Mammalia; Carnivora; Canidae
Description: lncRNA (ENSCAFG00000058179.1)
Source: RNAcentral
AAAGAGAGAUUGGGGAGUGAUUGGUAAUUAACAUGGCGUUUCUUUUUAGGGUAAUAAAAUAUUCUGGAACCCGGCAUUUUGGGGGGAGGGUAAUAAGAUAUUCUGGAAUUAGAUAUUGAUGAUGUUUGCACAUGUCCAUGGAUAUACUAGGAAAUAUUGAAUUGUGCUCUUUAUUUGAAAAAGAUAAUUUUACUGUAUGUGAUUUAUAUCUCAAUAAAUCUGUUAUUUAUAAAAUAUGCUAAGGGGAAAAUCAGAGUUACUGGACUCCUCUGAGUUAGGUUCACCUUACUCAUUUCUGAGCAAUAGACAAGAGUGCAAAUAGACGUCCGUAUGCCACAAGUCAAAUGUUUUAAAAUUGUGAAUCAAGCAAUCACAGUCUUAAAUGUGUUUUAUUCCCUUGCACUGACAAAUACAUCUUCAUCCAGGAACAGUUCUAUACUGUUGGCUAUGGGAAAUGAGCAAGGGCUUUAAGAAGAACAAAGAUGUGAUAGUAUCAUUAUUUCUGAAACAGCUUGUUGGUGGCCCUGUCAAGGUGUAGGUAGAGGAAAGCCUGGGGAUGGUAGCAGUAAGUAAGCAGUGGUGAUCACCCUCCCCAGAAUUGAGGUGGACACAAACCAAUAUCAUAGUAUGGAGAUAGUUUGGCAGAUAGAUCAGGCACGCUAAAACUGGGUCAGCAGAGAUAGAUAGAUGUAGAAGGAGGAAGAGAUGUGAGAAAGGAGAAAGAGGUGGCUGACCUUUAGAACUUCACUGACUCAGGCUGGUGACAUCAUUAACUAAGAGAUAAAAGAAGAAGUAGGUUUCUUCUUUUAUCAGGUGGGAGUAGAGGAACUUUGAGAGCUGGGCUUUGGGUAUGUGAGGCUGAGCUAUGUGUAGGAUAUUAGGUGGAAAUUACCAAUUAGUAUUGAGAAGCACAUGCUUGGAGUAUAGAAAAGGGGUCUGAGUUAGUAAAAUGAUUUAGAAGUCCCUGGAAUCGUCAGAGUCCCAGGGGGGAUUAAGAACCAAAUGGAACGAAACACAACAGACCAGUACCAUUAAUAAUUAGACUCUGAAAUGUUCCUACUUAAACAAAAGACAAAGAUAACACCAUUUGCAAGAAACUGUCAUGAUGUGUAGUAGAGUCUUCAUGGUGAGCUUGAUGCUUUUGGUUAGAAAAUGGUGAAUAUAGGGCAACUGGAUGGCUCAGUGGUUGAGUGUCUGCCUUCAGCUCAGGUCAUGAUCCCGGGGUCCUGGGAUUGAGUUCUGCUCCAAGUAAGGAGCCGGCUUCUCCCUCUACCUAUGUCUCUGCCUCUCUCUGUGUGUUUCUCAUGAAUUAAGCAAACAAAAUCUUACAAAAAAAGAAAAUGGUUAUUAUAAUAUGAUCCAUAACCAGUAACAGGUGGGAAGAACAAAUAAAAUCAGCCAAAUUAUAAUGGAAAAGACAUAGAACUGAAUUUUUCAUUUAUAUAUAAAUUAUAGCUUAUAUUUAAAAAUAUACAUACAACAAAAAUAUAUUACUGGUGAAGUUUUGCUUCUUAGGAUUCUUUUGCUGUGAUAACCUGUGUUUGAAAGAAGAAAAAUAGGCUGUUAAUUCUUAAUUGCCUUAACUGGCUGAUGAUGCUAGUUAAUGUUGUUAUUAGAUUUAUACCUGAAAGUACUUCAGAACCAUUAAUUAGACAUUUCUUAUCAGCUCUCUGCAUUAGACAUUACCAGCCUGCUUGCUGCUGCCAUUCCCCCACGUGCUAUAAUUUAUGCCAGAUGGUGUGACUUGUUCACUGGGAAAAGUACUUCAAACCGAGAACCUGCUGGUUUUUGGUUAUUGGAAGAGCAUUGAUUUGAGUUUGGUGUUGCAAAGUGUUUCAUUUGUUUACUUGCCAAAUGAGUAAAAUAUGCAUGUUUUCACUGGCUUAAAUUUCUGUCUAAAACACUUUUCUGUACUUUGAUUGGCAAAGCACAGAACUGUUACUCUAUCCUGUCAUCCAGGUCUGGCUUCAGGAGUCCCUACUCUCACCUCCUCACCGGGAAGAGGCUGUGUUGUUUCUUUGGAUUCGUUGGCAUUUGUGCAUUUCUAAGAGAGACAGGUAUCUUCACAAUAAGUGAUUGGACUUAGUUGGAGGAAUAUGGAAAGGUUGGAAGUUGAAUGUGUUAAUCAGGUUUCUUAUUAUCAAUAAGCAGCAAUCAUGUAAUUUCAGUGAGCUGUGAAGGUGAUAGGUUUAGGCCAUAUUCUAAAAGAAAUAAAGAUUAUAUGCCUCUCCGUUUCAGUUCUACCAAAAUGUCCAUGUCCUCCUCUUCUUUCCUGGCUUUUAGAAAUCCUAUAGCAGGACGGACUGUCACCUGCCUCUGUGAUUUACAAGUCAUGCUCUUUUAUGUCUGGAUCUGCAUCCUAUUGUAAUGCUCUGAUUGGAUUUGAAACGGGUUGCUCUGAGGUAGGUUUUCUCAUAAUCUGAUGGUGGGAGUAAAAAUUGGCAUGACUUUUAUGGAAAGCCUUUUAGCAACAUGUGUUAGAGUAUUUUAAUCUAUUCUAAUUUUAUCUGUUCAAUAGAAAUAAUAUGCGGUGUGGACAAAUACCUACUUAUAAAAAUAUUCAUUACUAUAUUUAUAGUAAUAAAAUAUGGAAAACAACUAUCUAUCAAUAGAAGAGUGAUCAAAUACAUCAUGGAAUAGAGAGAGCUCUUGUAAAUCAACAAGAAAAAGAUGAUGUCCCCGAAUAGAAAAUGGUUAAUGGAAAUGAAAUGCAGUUCACCAAAAAGAAAUGCAAAUGGCUAAGAAGCAUUUGAACAGAUGUUCAUUCUCAUUAGGAAUCAAAGGAUACAAAUGAAAAUAAUGAUAUAUUAUUUUAACUAUUAGGAAAGAUGAAACUGUUCCAUUGAUGAGGAGGUAGAAAUCAGGCAUUCUCAUUUACUCUUCAUUGGAGUGUAAUUGGCACAAAUGUGGAGGGGGAGAAAUUUGAAUGGGAGAGAGCAUACUUUUGACUCAGCAGUGCACUUCUAAGAUUGUAUUUUAAAAAUAAUCAACAAGUCUACAAAGGACAUGUAUAGGAUAUUUACCAGUUACACUCAUGCUAGUGAAAACUGAGAAUAAUCCAAAACCCAUUAGUAGGUGAUUGUUAAAUACAUGAUAGUACAACCACAUGAGGGAAUACUAUAUAGCCAUUAAAAACUAAUGUAGAUCAAGGGGUGCCUGGGUGCCUGACUCUGAGUCUGUUAAGCCACCAACUCUUGAUUUCAGCUCAGGUCAUGAUCUUGGGUUGGUGGGCUCAAGCCCCACGUCAGGCUCCAUGGUGGGUUUGGAGUCUGCUUGAGAUUCUCUGCCUCUCUCUCUCUCUCACUCUGCCCCUCCCCCAGCUUGUGCAUGUACACACAC